Molecule: ribosomal RNA, 433 nt
Filed under: uncultured bacterium
Lineage: Bacteria
Description: partial 16S ribosomal RNA
Rfam family: Bacterial small subunit ribosomal RNA
Source: RNAcentral
AACGAACGCUGGCGGCAUGCCUAACACAUGCAAGUCGAACGAGACCUUCGGGUCUAGUGGCGCACGGGUGCGUAACGCGUGGGAACCUGCCCUUAGGUUCGGAAUAACUCCCCGAAAGGGGUGCUAAUACCGGAUAAUGUCUUCGGACCAAAGAUUUAUCGCCUUUGGAUGGGCCCGCGUUGGAUUAGCUAGUUGGUAGGGUAAAAGCCUACCAAGGCGAAGAUCCAUAGCUGGUCUGAGAGGAUGAUCAGCCACACUGGGACUGAGACACGGCCCAGACUCCUACGGGAGGCAGCAGUGGGGAAUAUUGGACAAUGGGCGAAAGCAUGAUCCAGCAAUGCCGCGUGAGUGAUGAAGGCCUUAGGGUUGUAAAGCUCUUUUACCCGGGAUGAUAAUGACAGUACCGGGAGAAUAAGCUCCGGCUAACUCCGUG